This 69-nucleotide transfer RNA is filed under the name Ictidomys tridecemlineatus (thirteen-lined ground squirrel). Its description in RNAcentral is "Spermophilus tridecemlineatus (thirteen-lined ground squirrel) tRNA". It matches the Rfam family "tRNA". Rfam says of the family: Transfer RNA (tRNA) molecules are approximately 80 nucleotides in length. Their secondary structure includes four short double-helical elements and three loops (D, anti-codon, and T loops). Further hydrogen bonds mediate the characteristic L-shaped molecular structure. tRNAs have two regions of fundamental functional importance: the anti-codon, which is responsible for specific mRNA codon recognition, and the 3' end, to which the tRNAs corresponding amino acid is attached (by aminoacyl-tRNA synthetases). tRNAs cope with the degeneracy of the genetic code in two manners: having more than one tRNA (with a specific anti-codon) for a particular amino acid; and 'wobble' base-pairing, i.e. permitting non-standard base-pairing at the 3rd anti-codon position. The record is from Rfam by way of RNAcentral. Lineage: Eukaryota; Metazoa; Chordata; Mammalia; Rodentia; Sciuridae.
GGGGUUGUGGCUCAGUGAUAGAGCACUUGCCUAGCAAGUAUAAGGCACUGGGUUCAAUCCUCAGCACCA